This 216-nucleotide ribosomal RNA is filed under the name uncultured microorganism. RNAcentral describes it as "partial 16S ribosomal RNA". It matches the Rfam family "Bacterial small subunit ribosomal RNA", at positions 9 to 223 of the family's 1533-position model. The record is from RNAcentral.
GAGUUUGAUCUUGGCUCAGGACGAACGCUGGCGGCGUGCUUAACACAUGCAAGUCGAACGGUAAGGCUCCAGCUUGCUGGGGUACACGAGUGGCGAACGGGUGAGUAACACGUGGGUGACCUGCCCUGCACUUCGGGAUAAGCCUGGGAAACUGGGUCUAAUACCGGAUAGGACCGCACCGUGAGGGUGUGGUGGAAAGUUUUUCGUGUGGAGUGG